This 267-nucleotide long non-coding RNA is filed under the name Elaeis guineensis (African oil palm). RNAcentral's name for it is "long non-coding RNA (EGUI_LNC043647)". Lineage: Eukaryota; Viridiplantae; Streptophyta; Magnoliopsida; Arecales; Arecaceae. The record is from RNAcentral.
CUUUGAUCCAUCACCUAUCUUUCUAUUGGUAGUCAUAGGUGGCGAAGGAUUAAUCAUGAUCUUCUUAUCCUGAUGAGUAAAAUUACAGGAGUUGGUUCGGCCAUAAAUCGUAAUAUCAUUGUCAAAUAGCCCAAGUCGACCUAAUAUGAUACUUCCAACUUCCAUAGGUAAGACAUCACACCAAACAUGAUCCUGAUAAGAAUGAAGCUGUGUCUAAAUUUGAUGAGAAUAAAGGAAGAAUCUAUCCAGAACACAUGGUAUGGGCCG